AACGAACGCUGGCAGCAUGCCUAACACAUGCAAGUCGAACGAGACCUUCGGGUCUAGUGGCGCACGGGUGCGUAACGCGUGGGAACCUGCCCUUAGGUUCGGAAUAACUCCCCGAAAGGGGUGCUAAUACCGGAUAAUGUCUUCGGACCAAAGAUUUAUCGCCUUUGGAUGGGCCCGCGUUGGAUUAGCUAGUUGGUAGGGUAAAAGCCUACCAAGGCGACGAUCCAUAGCUGGUCUGAGAGGAUGAUCAGCCACACUGGGACUGAGACACGGCCCAGACUCCUACGGGAGGCAGCAGUGGGGAAUAUUGGACAAUGGGCGAAAGCCUGAUCCAGCAAUGCCGCGUGAGUGAUGAAGGCCUUAGGGUUGUAAAGCUCUUUUACCCGGGAUGAUAAUGACAGUACCGGAAGAAUAAGCUCCGGCUAACUCCGUG
RNAcentral lists this ribosomal RNA (433 nucleotides) under uncultured bacterium. RNAcentral describes it as "partial 16S ribosomal RNA". It matches the Rfam family "Bacterial small subunit ribosomal RNA", at positions 29 to 507 of the family's 1533-position model. The record is from RNAcentral.